CUGGCUCAGAACGAACGCUGGCGGCAGGCUUAACACAUGCAAGUCGAGCGCCCCGCAAGGGGAGCGGCAGACGGGUGAGUAACGCGUGGGAAUCUACCCUUGACUACGGAAUAACGCAGGGAAACUUGUGCUAAUACCGUAUGUGUCCUUCGGGAGAAAGAUUUAUCGGUCAAGGAUGAGCCCGCGUUGGAUUAGCUAGUUGGUGGGGUAAAGGCCUACCAAGGCGACGAUCCAUAGCUGGUCUGAGAGGAUGAUCAGCCACAUUGGGACUGAGACACGGCCCAAACUCCUACGGGAGGCAGCAGUGGGGAAUAUUGGACAAUGGGCGCAAGCCUGAUCCAGCCAUGCCGCGUGAGUGAUGAAGGCCCUAGGGUUGUAAAGCUCUUCACCGGAGAAGAUAAUGACG
RNAcentral lists this ribosomal RNA (406 nucleotides) under Rhizobium hidalgonense. Its description in RNAcentral is "bacterial SSU rRNA". It matches the Rfam family "Bacterial small subunit ribosomal RNA", at positions 19 to 456 of the family's 1533-position model. Lineage: Bacteria; Pseudomonadati; Pseudomonadota; Alphaproteobacteria; Hyphomicrobiales; Rhizobiaceae. The record is from RNAcentral.